CGGUAACAGGUCUUCGGAUGCUGACGAGUGGCGAACGGGUGAGWAAUACAUCGGAACGUGCCUAGUAGUGGGGGAUAACUACUCGAAAGAGUAGCUAAUACCGCAUGAGAUCUACGGAUGAAAGCAGGGGACCUUCGGGCCUUGUGCUACUAGAGCGGCUGAUGGCAGAUUAGGUAGUUGGUGGGGUAAAGGCUUACCAAGCCUGCGAUCUGUAGCUGGUCUGAGAGGACGACCAGCCACACUGGGACUGAGACACGGCCCAGACUCCUACGGGAGGCAGCAGUGGGGAAUUUUGGACAAUGGGCGAAAGCCUGAUCCAGCAAUGCCGCGUGCAGGAUGAAGGCCCUCGGGUUGUAAWCUKCUUUUGUACGGAACGAAAAGCCUGGGGCUAAUAUCCCCGGGUCAUGACGGUACCGUAAGAAUA
RNAcentral lists this ribosomal RNA (424 nucleotides) under Comamonas sp. Li2-2. Its description in RNAcentral is "bacterial SSU rRNA". It matches the Rfam family "Bacterial small subunit ribosomal RNA", at positions 67 to 488 of the family's 1533-position model. Lineage: Bacteria; Pseudomonadati; Pseudomonadota; Betaproteobacteria; Burkholderiales; Comamonadaceae. The record is from RNAcentral.